AGGGUUGUUCGGAAAGUUUUGAGACAAUAUGAUUUUCUCUGUUUCUAAUUACAGCUGCGAAUAUUAUUUAAUACAAAUUAUAGCUUAAUAUGUUAUUUAUCCGAGUUAUGUCUUAAAAACGUUGUAACGUUACUAUACGGCAUAUAAUCGUUUCCAUAGCAACACCUGUCUACGCAUCCUGGCGCACGGACUAUUUUCUUGUUAUAAGUUUUCUUACUGAAUAAAAAGAGCCCCUAAAAUUGCGCCAAACGUCACGAAAAUUUUAUGACGUCACUUCCAACUUAAGGACGUCAUUUCCGCUAGUUGUUUAAGCCGUUACCGCAGAUCAUUAUAGCAAUACGUGCGCGACAAGACAACGACUAUGGAAACACUGUCAAAAGAGGAACAGCCUGUUUUUAUUAAGUUUUGCGUUAAUCUUGGGAAAACGCCAACAGAAACUAAGCAACUUCUAGAACAGGCAAACAACGGACGUACUGUUAGUCGACCAUUGGUAUUUAGAUGGCAUAAAGAGUUUCGGGAUGGCAGAAAGUCAACAAAAGACAAGGAAAGGAGCGGUCGCCCAUCCGUCAUCGACGAUAAACUGACACUUGCAAGAAACGCGCUUCAGAAUCCGGUUUGAGGACCUAGUUGAACUGCGCUCUAGAGUUAUGAGCAUUAUUGCAACAUUUAAAUCUGACUGGUAUAGAAAUGUAUUCGCCAAGUGGGUUACGAGGCAUGAGAAAUGUGUACGUUGUGAAGGAAGAUACUUUGAAAA
This is a long non-coding RNA of Ruditapes philippinarum (Manila clam), 754 nucleotides long. RefSeq lists it as uncharacterized. The transcript has 2 exons. NCBI's taxonomy places the organism in Eukaryota, Metazoa, Mollusca, Bivalvia, Venerida, Veneridae. The record is from RefSeq and is a predicted model, not a curated record.